Molecule: transfer RNA, 72 nt
Filed under: Ictidomys tridecemlineatus (thirteen-lined ground squirrel)
Lineage: Eukaryota; Metazoa; Chordata; Mammalia; Rodentia; Sciuridae
Description: Spermophilus tridecemlineatus (thirteen-lined ground squirrel) tRNA
Rfam family: tRNA
About the family: Transfer RNA (tRNA) molecules are approximately 80 nucleotides in length. Their secondary structure includes four short double-helical elements and three loops (D, anti-codon, and T loops).
Source: Rfam by way of RNAcentral
UGGGAUGUAGCUCAGUGUCAGAGCACUUGCCUGGCAUCUAGGAAGCCCUGGGUUCAAUGCCCAGUACUACAA